AAAUUGAAGAGUUUGAUCAUGGCUCAGAUUGAACGCUGGCGGCAGGCCUAACACAUGCAAGUCGAACGGUAACAGGAAGCAGCUUGCUGCUUCGCUGACGAGUGGCGGACGGGUGAGUAAUGUCUGGGAAACUGCCUGAUGGAGGGGGAUAACUACUGGAAACGGUGGCUAAUACCGCAUAACGUCGCAAGACCAAAGAGGGGGACCUUCGGGCCUCUUGCCAUCAGAUGUGCCCAGAUGGGAUUAGCUAGUUGGUGAGGUAACGGCUCACCAAGGCGACGAUCCCUAGCUGGUCUGAGAGGAUGACCAGCCACACU
RNAcentral lists this ribosomal RNA (317 nucleotides) under Salmonella enterica. RNAcentral's name for it is "bacterial SSU rRNA". It matches the Rfam family "Bacterial small subunit ribosomal RNA", at positions 1 to 314 of the family's 1533-position model. The record is from RNAcentral. RNAcentral also lists the same sequence under 2 other names. Lineage: Bacteria; Pseudomonadati; Pseudomonadota; Gammaproteobacteria; Enterobacterales; Enterobacteriaceae.